Molecule: long non-coding RNA, 1762 nt
Filed under: Delphinapterus leucas (beluga whale)
Lineage: Eukaryota; Metazoa; Chordata; Mammalia; Artiodactyla; Monodontidae
Description: lncRNA (ENSDLEG00000008297.1)
Source: RNAcentral
CCCCACCCUCCUGGCCGCAGCGAACACCCGGAGAAGCGGAUUUGCGUCGCGCGGGUAGCUGGGCCGGCUCGUGCAGCGGACUGGGCAUGCUCGGCAGCCCGGGAGGCUCGCUGUGGCAAGUCGGAAGCGUUCGCACCAGCUAGGCAGCGGCCGGGCAGCGGCGGCGGCGGCGGCGCCGGCGGGGGCCACGACGGGAGCGGGAAGGGCCGGCCAGGGAAGGCUGCUCUCCCCUUGCGACCGACGAGCCGGCCUGACAGCGCGUUCCGGGUGCGGAGCCCCAACUCUGCCCUGCCCCGGAUUUCAUCCCGCAGCGGGGGGCUCGGCGAGCGGAAUUCCGGCGGCUGCCGUGACUCCGGUGCAAGGCGAGGACAGCAUGAACAUCCAUAAAUGUGCCUGUGGGCAUAUUUAGCCAUUCGUUUUUGAUUAGGAAAAAGAAGACGGCCAUCCACUUGAAAGGUGAGUAAAGAUUUCUGUGCGUCUUUUUAUUAUAAAAAUGUUCAAACAUACUGAAGAGUUAAAAAAUGUACAGUGAGUUUACAUUUAACAGUUGUUAGCAUUCUGCCACAUUGUGUGUACCUGUGUGUGUGUGUAUAGUAGGUUUCUACUGUUUUCUGCUGAAACAUGUGAAAGUAAGUUGAAGAGAUCAUGACAUUUUCUCCUCAAUUCUUGGGGAUGCAGUUCCUAAAAAUAAGAAUAUUCUCCCCUGAGGGACAUUUGAGAACAUUCAUAAACUCCAUGACAGAAUCAUUUAAUUAAACACAGUUACAGUUUCCUAUUAAAAGAUGUUAUUUUGAAUUUAUGUUCCCUUCCUGGCUGAUAUAAAUAAGGUCAGAUUUAAAAAAUAUUUAAACAGUGACUUACUUAAUGGACAGACCUAUAUAGUGAAUUUGUUUGAUGUGAAAAACAUCUGGAUAUAAAGGAUUGGACUUUGCACUACGCGCAUGUGCCCUGUAUAAGAGAGGAUUACUGUGCUUUCUCUGUUCCUGGUAAUCUGCCCAUCUGGCCUGCUGUAACUGAUGUUUAUUGUUAGGUCAGAGGAUCUGAUGACUACUCUUCCCUCCUUCCUGACCAGCAUUCACAAGUAGACCAGCCUCUGUGAUUUAAUGUGAUCAAAGGUCUUAAUUGAUUUUUUUAGCCUGAACUUACAAGGAGAAUGGGAAAAGAAUAUGAGUGGUAAUGUCCAGUUGAGGUUAGUGUAUUAAGAUCAACAUUAGAGAGAAUCAGAAUGAUUCCCAGCCCCCAAAUUUGACUACCUGCGUCGAAACUUUACAUAAAGUCUUAAAGAUGUGUGUUCAGCUCUGACUGUAGUUGUAAGUAUUACCCAUGAGGGCCGUUUACACAGUCGGUCAUUACAGCUCUGUGGUGCUUGCAGGGUUGCUGUUGCUGUUCUACAUUCUAACCUCAGUUACAUUUUGUUUACAGUAUCUUCUUCUGGAGGCCCUGAGUGUUGCAGCAUUUCUUCAUUCAUGUUUAUGAACUAGAUUUACCCAUUUAGAGCGUUAUUUUAAAAGAAGUCUGUUUAAGUGAGCCAUUUAGGGCAGCAGAGUCGUCUUAGUAUUUUCAUUUCUGAUUUAGAAUAAAAAGUUAGUGACAGCAGUAAAGUUUCUGAAAGACACUAACUUUCCGAAGACGCUGGGACUGGAAUUACAGGUAUCUCAAAAUGAUCUAGUUUGCUUUCUCACUGUUUGGCCUCUGUCUGGUUAUGCUUAGAAAAAAUGAGGAGGCGUGCCUGGGGCUCCACAUGAGGCAAGAGGCUCUGCAG